Molecule: non-coding RNA, 89 nt
Organism: Oleoguttula sp. CCFEE 5521
Lineage: Eukaryota; Fungi; Ascomycota; Dothideomycetes; Mycosphaerellales; Teratosphaeriaceae
Source: the annotation of a GenBank genome assembly
GAUUGGCCUGCUGGCCCAAUGGCAAGGCGCUUGACUACGAAUCAAGAGAUUGCAGGUUGCACGUUCGAUCCUCGCUCCCUCCUCGAUUA